Molecule: non-coding RNA, 21 nt
Filed under: Caenorhabditis elegans
Lineage: Eukaryota; Metazoa; Nematoda; Chromadorea; Rhabditida; Rhabditidae
Source: RNAcentral
UUUCAAAAACGCCUCAAAUAG